Molecule: transfer RNA, 64 nt
Filed under: Embiophila sp.
Lineage: Eukaryota; Metazoa; Arthropoda; Insecta; Hemiptera; Plokiophilidae
Description: tRNA-Asp
Source: RNAcentral
AAAGAUUUAGUUUAAAAUAAAACCUUAAUUUGUCAAAUUAAAAAUAUUUAUAUAAUAAUCUUUU